GGAUGAACUGAGGGUAGCGGAGAAAUUCCAAUCGAACCUGGAGAUAGCUGGUUCUCUCCGAAAUAGCUUUAGGGCUAGCCUCAAGUGAUGAUUAUUGGAGGUAGAGCACUGUUUGGACGAGGGGCCCCUCUCGGGUUACCGAAUUCAGACAAACUCCGAAUGCCAAUUAAUUUAACUUGGGAGUCAGAACAUGGGUGAUAAGGUCCGUGUUCGAAAGGGAAACAGCCCAGACCACCAGCUAAGGUCCC
This 248-nucleotide ribosomal RNA is filed under the name Staphylococcus aureus. Its description in RNAcentral is "partial 23S ribosomal RNA". It matches the Rfam family "Bacterial large subunit ribosomal RNA", at positions 802 to 1048 of the family's 2925-position model. Lineage: Bacteria; Bacillati; Bacillota; Bacilli; Caryophanales; Staphylococcaceae. The record is from RNAcentral.